RNAcentral lists this RNase P RNA (345 nucleotides) under uncultured Eisenbergiella sp. RNAcentral's name for it is "Bacterial RNase P class A". It matches the Rfam family "Bacterial RNase P class A". Rfam says of the family: Ribonuclease P (RNase P) is a ubiquitous endoribonuclease, found in archaea, bacteria and eukarya as well as chloroplasts and mitochondria. Its best characterised activity is the generation of mature 5'-ends of tRNAs by cleaving the 5'-leader elements of precursor-tRNAs. Lineage: Bacteria; Bacillati; Bacillota; Clostridia; Lachnospirales; Lachnospiraceae. The record is from RNAcentral.
AUGGUCGCGGCUGUCAGUCCGUUUGGACGCCCGAAAGGGGACAGGUGAGGAAAGUCCGGGCUUCACAGGGCAGGAUGCCGGAUAACGUCCGGUGGAGGUGACUCCAAGGAUAGUGCAACAGAAAUAUACCGCCGGCUUUACGCCGGUAAGGGUGGAAGGGCAGCUUAAGAGACUACCGCCCGCAUGGUAACAUGCGGGGCAUAUGUAAACCCCAUCCGAAGCAAGACCGAAUAGAAAGCGACAGGUUUGCCCGACCUGCUUUCAGGUGGGUCGCUUGAGCCUGCCGGCAACGGCAGGACUAGAUAGAUGACCAUUCACGACAUAACCCGGCUUAUCGUUUUGCUU